UGACUNGAGUGCAGAAGGGGAGAGUGGAAUUCCAUGUGUAGCGGUGAAAUGCGUAGAUAUAUGGAGGANCACCAGUGGCGAAAGCGGCUCUCUGGUCUGUCACUGACGCUGAGGCUCGAAAGCGUGGGUAGCGAACAGGAUUAGAUACCCUGGUAGUNCACGCCGUAAACGAUGAGUGCUAGGUGUUAGGCCCUUUCCGGGGCUUAGUGCCAGAGCUAACGCAAUAAGCACUCCGCCUGGGGAGUACGACCGCAAGGUUGAAACUCAAAGGAAUUGACGGGGGCCCGCACAAGCGGUGGAGCAUGUGGUUUAAUUCGAAGCAACGCGAAGAACCUUACCAGGUCUUGACAUCCCGAUGCUAUUCUUAGAGAUAGGAAGUUACUUCGGUACAUCGGAGACAGGUGGUGCAUGGUUGUCGUCAGCUCGUGUCGUGAGAUGUUGGGUUAAGUCCCGCAACGAGCGCAACCCUUAUUGUUAGUUGCCAUCAUUAAGUUGGGCACUCUAGCGAGACUGCCGGUAAUAAACCGGAGGAAGGUGGGGAUGACGUCAAAUCAUCAUGCCCCUUAUGACCUGGGCUACACACGUGCUACAAUGGUCGGUACAACGAGUUGCGAGCCGGUGACGGCAAGCUAAUCUCUGAAAGCCGAUCUCAGUUCGGAUUGGAGGCUGCAACUCGCCUCCAUGAAGUCGGAAUCGCUAGUAAUCGCGGAUCAGCACGCCGCGGUGAAUACGUUCCCGGGCCUUGUACACACCGCCCGUCACACCACGAGAGUUUGUAACACCCGAAGUCGGUGAGGUAACCUUUUAGGGGCCAGCC
RNAcentral lists this ribosomal RNA (817 nucleotides) under uncultured bacterium. RNAcentral's name for it is "bacterial SSU rRNA". It matches the Rfam family "Bacterial small subunit ribosomal RNA", at positions 638 to 1454 of the family's 1533-position model. The record is from RNAcentral.